Molecule: ribosomal RNA, 492 nt
Filed under: uncultured bacterium
Lineage: Bacteria
Description: partial 16S ribosomal RNA
Rfam family: Bacterial small subunit ribosomal RNA
Source: RNAcentral
AGUGAACGCUGGCGGUAGGCCUAACACAUGCAAGUCGAACGGCAGCACAGUAAGAGCUUGCUCUUACGGGUGGCGAGUGGCGGACGGGUGAGGAAUACAUCGGAAUCUACUUUUUCGUGGGGGAUAACGUAGGGAAACUUACGCUAAUACCGCAUACGACCUACGGGUGAAAGCAGGGGAUCUUCGGACCUUGCGCGAUUGAAUGAGCCGAUGUCGGAUUAGCUAGUUGGCGGGGUAAAGGCCCACCAAGGCGACGAUCCGUAGCUGGUCUGAGAGGAUGAUCGGCCACACUGGAGCUGAGCCACGGUCCAGACUCCUACGGGAGGCAGCAGUGGGGAAUAUUGGACAAUGGGCGCAAGCCUGAUCCAGCCAUACCGCGUGGGUGAAGAAGGCCUUCGGGUUGUAAAGCCCUUUUGUUGGGAAAGAAAAGCAGCAGGUUAAUACCCCGCUGUUCUGACGGUACCCAAAGAAUAAGCACCGGCUAACUUCGUG